Molecule: ribosomal RNA, 250 nt
Filed under: uncultured bacterium
Lineage: Bacteria
Description: partial 16S ribosomal RNA
Rfam family: Bacterial small subunit ribosomal RNA
Source: RNAcentral
ACGGAGGAUCCGAGCGUUAUCCGGAUUUAUUGGGUUUAAAGGGAGCGUAGGUUGACGUAUAAGUCAGCCUGUGAAAGUUUGCGGCUCAACCGUAAAAUUGCAGUUGAUACUGUUUUUCUUGAGUGUACAUAAGGUAGGCGGAAUUCGUGGUGUAGCGGUGAAAUGCUUAGAUAUCACGAAGAACUCCGAUUGCGAAGGCAGCUUACUAAGCUACAACUGACACUGAGGCUCGAAAGUGUGGGUAUCAAAC